This 593-nucleotide long non-coding RNA is filed under the name Ananas comosus (pineapple). RNAcentral describes it as "long non-coding RNA (ACOM_LNC006391)". The record is from RNAcentral. Lineage: Eukaryota; Viridiplantae; Streptophyta; Magnoliopsida; Poales; Bromeliaceae.
AAUUAUUUAAAAUCUUAAAGCAAAAAUAAUUCAUAAUAUAAAAGACAUGCAAUAAAAAAAUUAGGAUUAAAAUUUUUAGGAUGGAUAAAUAAAAAAUAUAUGUUACUUAAGAAAAUAUAUUUUGUAAUUAAAAAAUAUAUGUGCGGGUAUCCGUGGGUACCCGUGGAUUAUCCAAAAUACCCAUUGCUUAAUGGGUACCCACUCGUUUUACCUGUAAUUUUUUAGGUUAGAAAAAUUGGUACCCAUACCCGCAAAUUUGUGGGUAACUUGCGGGUACCUGCGGGUUUGGGUCAAGAUUGCCAGGUCUAUAUGCAAUCAUGUCUACCAUGACUUAUUCCUCUAAUUAAUUCAUGCCUAAUUAUAUAUAGCCAUCAAAUUAUAACAGAUGAUGAAUCUAAUUUUACUUUGGAGAAUUAUAUAUUAUAAUCAUAAUCAAAUAAAAGAUUUAAAUUUAUCUUUAACUAUAUUUUAAUUAUGUUUGGAUUAUUAUUUUCAACAAAAACAAUUUUAUAUUUAACCAAACGUUCAAAAAUUUUCAAUCUCAUCGAUUCACUAUUAUUAUAAAAAAGAUAAUUUAUAAAAAUAUUUUCUCC